AUGCAGUCGAGCGGAUGACGGGAGCUUGCUCCUUGAUUCAGCGGCGGACGGGUGAGUAAUGCCUAGGAAUCUGCCUGGUAGUGGGGGACAACGUUUCGAAAGGAACGCUAAUACCGCAUACGUCCUACGGGAGAAAGCAGGGGACCUUCGGGCCUUGCGCUAUCAGAUGAGCCUAGGUCGGAUUAGCUAGUUGGUGGGGUAAUGGCUCACCAAGGCGACGAUCCGUAACUGGUCUGAGAGGAUGAUCAGUCACACUGGAACUGAGACACGGUCCAGACUCCUACGGGAGGCAGCAGUGGGGAAUAUUGGACAAUGGGCGAAAGCCUGAUCCAGCCAUGCCGCGUGUGUGAAGAAGGUCUUCGGAUUGUAAAGCACUUUAAGUUGGGAGGAAGGGCAGUAAGUUAAUACCUUGCUGUUUUGACGUUACCGACAGAAUAAGCACCGGCUAACUCUGUGCCAGCAGCCGCGGUAAUACAGAGGGUGCAAGCGUUAAUCGGAAUUACUGGGCGUAAAGCGCGCGUAGGUGGUUCGUUAAGUUGGAUGUGAAAGCCCCGGGCUCAACCUGGGAACUGCAUCCAAAACUGGCGAGCUAGAGUACGGUAGAGGGUGGUGGAAUUUCCUGUGUAUCGGUGAAAUGCGUAGAUAUAUGAAGGAACACCAGUGGCGAAGGCGAC
Molecule: ribosomal RNA, 674 nt
Filed under: Pseudomonas monteilii
Lineage: Bacteria; Pseudomonadati; Pseudomonadota; Gammaproteobacteria; Pseudomonadales; Pseudomonadaceae
Description: bacterial SSU rRNA
Rfam family: Bacterial small subunit ribosomal RNA
Source: RNAcentral